RNAcentral lists this ribosomal RNA (441 nucleotides) under uncultured bacterium. RNAcentral describes it as "partial 16S ribosomal RNA". It matches the Rfam family "Bacterial small subunit ribosomal RNA", at positions 338 to 795 of the family's 1533-position model. The record is from RNAcentral.
CCUACGGGGGAAGCAGUGGGGGAUAUUUGGCAAUGGGCGCAAGCCUGACCCAGCAACGCCGCGUGAAGGAAGAAGGCUUUUGGGGUGGUAACCUCCUUUUAGAGGGAAGAGGAGAAGACGGUACCCCCUUAAUUAGCCACGGCCAACUACGUGCCAGCAGCCGCGGUAAUACGUAGGUGGCAAGCGUUGUCCGGAUUUACUGGGUGUAAAGGGCGUGCAGCCGGGAAGACAAGUCAGAUGUGAAAUCCCGCGGCUCAACCGGGGAACUGCAUUUGAAACUGUUUUUCUUGAGUACCGGAGAGGUCAUCGGAAUUCCUUGUGUAGCGGUGAAAUGCGUAGAUAUCACACAGAACACCGAUUGCGAAGGCAUCUCACGAAUCCGCGAUUGACGCUGAUGCACGAAAGCGUGGGUAUCAAACAGGAUUAGAUACCCGUGUAGUC